GACGGACGCUGGCGGCGUGCCUAAUACAUGCAAGUUGAGCGCUGAAGGUUGGUACUUGUACCAACUGGAUAAGCAGCGAACGGGUGAGUAACGCGUGGGGAAUCUGCCUUUGAGCGGGGGACAACAUUUGGAAACGAAUGCUAAUACCGCAUAAAAACUUUAAACACAAGUUUUAAGUUUGAAAGAUGCAAUUGCAUCACUCAAAGAUGAUCCCGCGUUGUAUUAGCUAGUUGGUGAGGUAAAGGCUCACCAAGGCGAUGAUACAUAGCCGACCUGAGAGGGUGAUCGGCCACAGUGGGACUGAGACACGGCCCAAACUCCUACGGGAGGCAGCAGUAGGGAAUCUUCGGCAAUGGACGAAAGUCUGACCGAGCAACGCCGCGUGAGUGAAGAAGGUUUUCGGAUCGUAAAACUCGGUUGGUAGAGAAGAACGUUGGUGAGAGUGGAAAGCUCAUCAAGUGACGGUAACUACCCAGAAAGGGACGGCUAACUACGUG
RNAcentral lists this ribosomal RNA (497 nucleotides) under uncultured bacterium. Its description in RNAcentral is "partial 16S ribosomal RNA". It matches the Rfam family "Bacterial small subunit ribosomal RNA", at positions 28 to 507 of the family's 1533-position model. The record is from RNAcentral.